GACGAACGCUGGCGGCGUGCUUAACACAUGCAAGUCGAGCGAUUCUCUUCGGAGAAGAGCGGCGGACGGGUGAGUAACGCGUGGGUAACCUGCCCUGUACACACGGAUAACAUACCGAAAGGUAUGCUAAUACGAGAUAAUAUGCUUUUAUCGCAUGGUAGAAGUAUCAAAGCUUUUGCGGUACAGGAUGGACCCGCGUCUGAUUAGCUAGUUGGUGAGGUAACGGCUUACCAAGGCGACGAUCAGUAGCCGACCUGAGAGGGUGAUCGGCCACAUUGGAACUGAGACACGGUCCAAACUCCUACGGGAGGCAGCAGUGGGGAAUAUUGCACAAUGGGCGAAAGCCUGAUGCAGCAACGCCGCGUGAGCGAUGAAGGCCUUCGGGUCGUAAAGCUCUGUCCUCAAGGAAGAUAAUGACGGUACUUGAGGAGGAAGCCCCGGCUAACUACGUGCCAGCAGCCGCGGUAA
RNAcentral lists this ribosomal RNA (468 nucleotides) under uncultured bacterium. Its description in RNAcentral is "partial 16S ribosomal RNA". It matches the Rfam family "Bacterial small subunit ribosomal RNA", at positions 28 to 523 of the family's 1533-position model. The record is from RNAcentral.